AAAGUUCCACAAUGAUCUUGAUAUAAUGAUUCUUAUAUUUCAUUGCCUUCAAUUAUUGUAUGCCUGUUUUUUAAUGAAACUGUUAACAAUUAUAGCCUGUUGAAGAUGAGAGAUGUUUUAGUUUUCCAUGACUUCCAAAUUGGUUUCUUAUUUGUUGUUUAAACUGCUUUAAUUCCAAAUAUUACUUUUAUCUCUGAACCUUAUAUUAUGGCUAUGCACGUCUGUGCAUCUCUUUGUUUGUCAUGCCCAAUCAUCGAUAAUGGUUAAUAAUGGAGAAAUUACUGGGUUAUUCCUCUGCGACUGGAUUUGAAUCAUGGAAAUAGUCUCUAUGCAAAAAAAGCAUGGGGAAGGCUGUGUACAAUGGAUGAUCCUCGCUUGACACUCAUAACUUGAGGAGUUUUAUGCAGUAGCAACCUCCAUUUAUUCAUAAUGUUGUUUUAAUGCAUAAGGGUAAUAUCUAUGAGUUCACUGAUGACUUUCAUAACCUAGGCCCUAUCAAUGUUGAUGUUAGAUGUUGUUUCAG
This 523-nucleotide unclassified non-coding RNA is filed under the name Hevea brasiliensis (rubber tree). Lineage: Eukaryota; Viridiplantae; Streptophyta; Magnoliopsida; Malpighiales; Euphorbiaceae. The record is from RNAcentral.